GACCCUUAUUAAGCCGAGGGUCACCUAGCCAACUGACGUUGUUAGUGAAUGCAUUUUGUUCACAAUCUAUAUCGGCCAAUCGUGAUUAUUACGAUUGGCUCUUUUUU
Molecule: small RNA, 107 nt
Filed under: Vibrio fluvialis
Lineage: Bacteria; Pseudomonadati; Pseudomonadota; Gammaproteobacteria; Vibrionales; Vibrionaceae
Description: Qrr RNA
Rfam family: Qrr RNA
About the family: This family represents a set of small RNAs (the Qrr RNAs) that are thought to be involved in the regulation of quorum sensing in Vibrio species.
Source: RNAcentral